RNAcentral lists this ribosomal RNA (439 nucleotides) under uncultured bacterium. Its description in RNAcentral is "partial 16S ribosomal RNA". It matches the Rfam family "Bacterial small subunit ribosomal RNA", at positions 339 to 795 of the family's 1533-position model. The record is from RNAcentral.
CUACGGGGGGCAGCAGUGGGGAAUAUUGGACAAUGGAGGCAACUCUGAUCCAGCCAUGCCGCGUGAGUGAAGAAGGCCUUAGGGUUGUAAAGCUCUUUCGCAGGGGAAGAUAAUGACGGUACCCUGACAAGAAGCCACGGCUAACUCCGUGCCAGCAGCCGCGGUAAUACGGAGGUGGCUAGCGUUGUUCGGAAUUACUGGGCGUAAAGCGCGCGUAGGCGGUUUGGAAAGUCAGAUGUGAAAGCCCAGGGCUCAACCCUGGAACUGCAUUUGAAACUAUCAAACUAGAAUCCGGUAGAGGUUAGUGGAAUUCCUAGUGUAGAGGUGAAAUUCGUAGAUAUUAGGAGGAACACCAGUGGCGAAGGCGACUGACUGGGCCGGUAUUGACGCUGAGGUGCGAAAGCGUGGGGAGCGAACGGGAUUAGAUACCCGCGUAGUC